RNAcentral lists this ribosomal RNA (253 nucleotides) under uncultured bacterium. RNAcentral describes it as "partial 16S ribosomal RNA". It matches the Rfam family "Bacterial small subunit ribosomal RNA", at positions 524 to 776 of the family's 1533-position model. The record is from RNAcentral.
GACAGAGGAUGCAAACGUUGCUCGGAAUUACUGGGCGUAAAGCGCGUGUAGGCGGUCUGGUAAGUCGGACGUGAAAGCCCGGGGCUCAACCCCGGAAGCGCGCUCGAUACUGCUUGACUAGGGUCCUGAAGAGGAGAGCGGAAUUCCCGGUGUAGAGGUGAAAUUCGUAGAUAUCGGGAGGAACACCAGUGGCGAAGGCGGCUCUCUGGGCAGGUACCGACGCUGAGACGCGAAAGCGUGGGAAGCAAACAGG